UGACGUGUUGGGCAUCCAGGGCGGUGCCUGGCCCCAGAGAGACCCUCAACAGCUGGGAGCUUUCUUUCCUGUUUGCCGCCCCAUUCCUCGUAGAGGGGCCUACUCAAGUGAAGAAGCCAGGGGACAAACUUGAGAAGCUUCACCCUCAGAAAUAAGCCUGGAAAAGCCUGAGGCUCUCGGGGCCUCUGAACACUCACCAGCAAGCAAGUCGGGCAUUUUUAGGCCAGCGGGAACUAGGAAAUUUGAUGAGGUUCCUUAGGCCUGGGUUACUUGCCUCUUUUGCUUUUGACUUUUGUACCUUUCCUUCCCCGAUUUCUUCCUCAGGGUUGUUCGGCUAGAAGGCCUGGGAGUCGGUGAUCUAAGGAGCUGUGAGGCAGAGCACCUCUGGGCUGCCAGGCUGGGACACAAGGACACAAGGGAACACACGGGAACACAAUGACACAAGAAGGAGUAGAGACGAUAGACUGAGGCCUAUCCUGAAGCCGGGUGCAGGAGCAUGGAGGAGGGCAGAGGUCGGGGUGGGACUCAGAGCGGCCUACAUGGCUGGAAGCCCAGGCGGGCGCUCCAACACACAGCAAGAGCCCAAUAAUUGCUGGUUGUAGAAACAACUGAACAGAGAAGGUGAAGGAAGGGUUGGUGUGACAGAAUUCCAGCUGGAAGACCCGCUGGCCCUCCCAGGCCCUGGGGGCCCUAUGGACUCAUGGAGCUCACCCUCUCAGGGGCACAGAUACUCAACAACAUGGACAAGUAACAUCGAAGUAUUUGGGGUGUGACAACGGGAGGAAAACGAGGUGGGCUCUUCCAUAUGGUGGUAAACAGUCACCGGCACCUCAUGGCCCGCUCAUGGAAACUUUCUCAGAAGAGCAAGGAAGCUUUUCAUUCCAGAAGUCUUGAAUAAGUGUCCCUCUCUUGGCUCGUUGGUCUGAACAGUGUCAUGUACUCACUGCUGAACCAGUGAGAAUAGCCAGAAGAUGGAGCUACAUGGACUGGGCUGGGCCUGAACCACAUACUCUAUUCCUAGAGUGCUGGGUAGGACUGGCUUCCUUUCAGCAUCUGGGGAGACACAGAUAAUGGAAACAAAACCAAGAGUGAUCAUUGAGAGAAGGAGACUGGAUGUGGCUGACCGCUAGGGUCCACUACCUUCCGGGAGAAUUUAACAGGGCAUCCAGUGUGAAAGGAAAGGGGUACACAUCAACGAUCCAAG
Molecule: long non-coding RNA, 1204 nt
Organism: Enhydra lutris kenyoni (northern sea otter)
Lineage: Eukaryota; Metazoa; Chordata; Mammalia; Carnivora; Mustelidae
Exons: 3
Source: RefSeq, a predicted model, not a curated record